AGAGUUUGAUCCUGGCUCAGGAUGAACGCUGGCGGCGUGCCUAACACAUGCAAGUCGAACGAAGCAUUAGGGAAAGCGGCUUCGGCCAAUGGAACUAAUGACUUAGUGGCGGACGGGUGAGUAACGCGUGAGCAAUCUGCCUUUCAGAGGGGGACAACACCGGGAAACUGGUGCUAAUACCGCAUAACGUAUUUAGAUCGCAUGAUUUGAAUACCAAAGGAGCAAUCCGCUGAAAGAUGAGCUCGCGUCUGAUUAGCUAGUUGGCAGGGUAACGGCCUACCAAGGCGACGAUCAGUAGCCGGACUGAGAGGUUGAACGGCCACAUUGGGACUGAGAUACGGCCCAGACUCCUACGGGAGGCAGCAGUGGGGAAUAUUGCACAAUGGGGGAAACCCUGAUGCAGCAACGCCGCGUGAAGGAAGAAGGUCUUCGGAUUGUAAACUUCUUUUCUUAAGGACAAUAAUGACGGUACUUAAGGAAUAAGCCACGGCUAACUACGUGCCAGCAGCCGCGGU
This 515-nucleotide ribosomal RNA is filed under the name uncultured bacterium. Its description in RNAcentral is "bacterial SSU rRNA". It matches the Rfam family "Bacterial small subunit ribosomal RNA", at positions 8 to 521 of the family's 1533-position model. The record is from RNAcentral.